UUAAGUUCAGCGGGUAGUCCUACCUGAUUUGAGAUCAAACGUUCAAAAAGCUGUCUCUCACAGAGGGGAGACAUUUAUGAGCCCCAGCGAACCUCCAUUGCUGAAGGUUACCUGGUGGGGAGACCACAAGCGUAGAUAGUUAUCACACCUGUGACGCCACCAAACACUGGCAAGCUGAUUUGUUUGAGAGGAGCCGACCA
This 200-nucleotide unclassified non-coding RNA is filed under the name Tomentella sp. RNAcentral's name for it is "partial internal transcribed spacer 2". The record is from RNAcentral. Lineage: Eukaryota; Fungi; Basidiomycota; Agaricomycetes; Thelephorales; Thelephoraceae.